UACAGAGGUCUCGAGCGUUAGGCGGAAUCACUGGGCUUAAAGCGUGUGUAGGCGGAUCGUUAAGUACCUUGUGAAAUCCCACGGCUUAACCGUGGAACUGCUUGGUAUACUGGCGGUCUUGAGCCAGCUAGGGGCUACCGGAACAAAUGGUGGAGCGGUGAAAUGCGUAGAUAUCAUUUGGAACGCCAAUGGUGAAAACAGGUAGCUGGGGCUGUGCUGACGCUGAGACACGAAGGCCAGGGGAGCAAACGGG
This 253-nucleotide ribosomal RNA is filed under the name uncultured bacterium. RNAcentral describes it as "partial 16S ribosomal RNA". It matches the Rfam family "Bacterial small subunit ribosomal RNA", at positions 524 to 776 of the family's 1533-position model. The record is from RNAcentral.